AUACAGAGGGUGCGAGCGUUAAUCGGAAUUACUGGGCGUAAAGCGCGCGUAGGCGGCUACUUAAGUCAGAUGUGAAAUCCCCGGGCUCAACCUGGGAACUGCAUCUGAUACUGGGUAGCUAGAGUUUAGGAGAGGGAAGUAGAAUUUCAGGUGUAGCGGUGAAAUGCAUAGAGAUCUGAAGGAAUACCAGUGGCGAAGGCGACUUCCUGGCCAAAAACUGACGCUGAGGUGCGAAAGCGUGGGUAGCAAACGGGAUUAGAAACCCUAGUAGUCC
RNAcentral lists this ribosomal RNA (274 nucleotides) under uncultured bacterium. RNAcentral describes it as "partial 16S ribosomal RNA". It matches the Rfam family "Bacterial small subunit ribosomal RNA", at positions 523 to 796 of the family's 1533-position model. The record is from RNAcentral.